Molecule: small nucleolar RNA, 83 nt
Organism: Manihot esculenta (cassava)
Lineage: Eukaryota; Viridiplantae; Streptophyta; Magnoliopsida; Malpighiales; Euphorbiaceae
Product: small nucleolar RNA U54
Exons: 1
Source: RefSeq, a predicted model, not a curated record
AGCUCCGUGAUUAUACGCCUGAUUUGGGCGGUAUACGCUAUUCUGAUUAAAACAUGAGCGGAUAUAUGAAGAAAAUGAGAGCU